RNAcentral lists this ribosomal RNA (480 nucleotides) under uncultured bacterium. Its description in RNAcentral is "partial 16S ribosomal RNA". It matches the Rfam family "Bacterial small subunit ribosomal RNA", at positions 30 to 506 of the family's 1533-position model. The record is from RNAcentral.
UUGAACGCUGGCGGCAUGCCUUACACAUGCAAGUCGAACGGUAACGGGCCUUCGGGUGCCGACGAGUGGCGAACGGGUGAGUAAUACAUCGGAACGUGCCCGAUCGUGGGGGAUAACGAGGCGAAAGCUUUGCUAAUACCGCAUACGAUCUACGGAUGAAAGCAGGGGACCACAAGGCCUUGCGCGGACGGAGCGGCCGAUGGCAGAUUAGGUAGUUGGUGGGAUAAAAGCUUACCAAGCCGACGAUCUGUAGCUGGUCUGAGAGGAUGAUCAGCCACACUGGGACUGAGACACGGCCCAGACCCCUACGGGAGGCAGCAGUGGGGAAUUUUGGACAAUGGGCGCAAGCCUGAUCCAGCCAUGCCGCGUGCAGGAUGAAGGCCUUCGGGUUGUAAACUGCUUUUGUACGGAACGAAAAGCCUUAUUUUAAUACAGGAGGGUCAUGACGGUACCGUAAGAAUAAGCACCGGCUAACUACGU